This 602-nucleotide ribosomal RNA is filed under the name uncultured bacterium. Its description in RNAcentral is "bacterial SSU rRNA". It matches the Rfam family "Bacterial small subunit ribosomal RNA", at positions 202 to 803 of the family's 1533-position model. The record is from RNAcentral.
CAAAGGGAUUACCGGUGGCGGAUGGGCAUGCGGCGCAUUAGCUAGUCGGCGGGGUAACGGCCCACCGAGGCGACGAUGCGUAGGGGUUCUGAGAGGAAGGUCCCCCACACUGGUACUGAGACACGGACCAGACUCCUACGGGAGGCAGCAGUGAGGAAUAUUGGUCAAUGGGCGCGAGCCUGAACCAGCCAAGUCGCGUGAGGGAUGACGGUCCUACGGAUUGUAAACCUCUUUUGCCGGGGAGCAAGCGUGCGUUCGUGAACGCGCGUCGAGAGUACCCGGAGAAAAAGCAUCGGCUAACUCCGUGCCAGCAGCCGCGGUAAUACGGAGGAUGCGAGCGUUAUCCGGAUUUAUUGGGUUUAAAGGGUGCGUAGGCGGGAUGCCAAGUCAGCGGUAAAAAUGCGGUGCUCAACGCCGUCGAGCCGUUGAAACUGGCGUUCUUGAGUGGGCGAGAAGUAUGCGGAAUGCGUGGUGUAGCGGUGAAAUGCAUAGAUAUCACGCAGAACUCCGAUUGCGAAGGCAGCAUACCGGCGCCCUACUGACGCUGAGGCACGAAAGCGUGGGUAUCGAACAGGAUUAGAUACCCUGGUAGUCCACGCAGU